GGCGGAGUUAGUAUGUUGGCUGUCAUAAGUAUUACAAUCUAAAUGUACUUUUAAUCCGUCUGUCUGCAUAUUUCAAGACAUGGCAUAUGAGGGUGCAGUUAGAUACCCUAUGGGUUGGAUGAUACUUGUCUUGUCAAUCAUCUUGAAAAAAUGUGUACUUUCCUCCGUCAUUAACACAAUGGAAAGGUCAAAUGCUUUAUUAUUUAAAUGUUGAAGGUGCAUUGGUGACGGAGAGAAACAAAAUAGUGCAGUUUGAGGCCAUGUGGCGGAGAGUGAUGCUGGAGAUGGGGGUGUGAGCAUGUGGGUCUGGCCAGGUGGGUCUGGGCAAGAUAUAACGCAAAGAAAAAGUCUUACAAAAAAUGUAAACAUCGUACCAAAAAAAUCCUAAAUUAACACCUUCAACCUCUCAGUGUAAUGGCUCAUUUGUUGGACUGACAGAUGUGGGGAUGCAGGUUGUCACCCAGGUGAUCCGAUCUUUCAGUUGUACAGUAACAGACAGUAUCUAACUCUAUGUAUUUAUGUAUGUCAGGAGGUGUGAGAGAGCCAUGCGUCGUGGUGGUGGUGGUGGCAGGGGGCUGUGCCAGGGCAGUGAGGCCCAAAGGAGAGAGGAGCACAGAGCUCAGGCUCGCCUGCAGGGGGGAUUACAGAGACUGGAGCAGGCCACGAGCUACCACCUCAACACACUCACCACAGAACAACGAAGAUUACACAGAGACCUGCUCAACAUCAGGACCGGUAACCCUUGGAGGAGGAGCCUUCACCCUAUGGUGUCGCGACCUGUCAACCCUGACCCCUCCCAUCUCUUCAUGCCCUGCAGGACUACCCUACCCACAAUCCCACGGGCCACCAGAGACCCAAAGAAACACAGGUCAGUGAAAGCUGUGUGUGGGGGAGUGUCUGGUCUGGCUGCACUCCAGGCUCGGGUCCAUGACUUCCUCUGCAGCUCUGCAGACCCACAGAGACACGGGGCAGAGAGCUCAGUGGCGCCACUCUGCCUGCCAGACCUCAAACUGCAGCCUGCAGCAGAAUUGACCAGCACUGGGCUGAGGGAGAAAGGGGAAGCGGAAGGGAGGGAGGGGAGAGCUGAGAGGGAGAGAGAAGAUGUGAGGGGGAGAGAGUGGAGGGCAACGCGAAAGAAGGAGGAAGAGAAUGGGAGGACAGAGAGAGACAGAGAGAAAGAGGAGUCUUAUCCUCUCCCUCCUCCCCCCUCCGACUUCCUCGCUGCUGAUGGUCGGCCCAGAACGCUCCACCUCCUGCCUGAUUUCAACCAAUCGCUGGCCGAGGCUCGUAAAGCUCGCUACAUCCGUUACCGAGGUCGACCCCCCUGCGAGAGGGAGCUAUCAAUCACUGAGAUAUUUGCCAGGGGCAACACAGGUUCCAUCCACAGAUUCUGAAAAGAGAGUAACCCUGUAAGACAGAACACAUCCUGUGAGUGUGGCUAGUAGUGUGUGACUUUUCUUUUAACCUGGGCCCUCUGCGCAUGUGUUAGUCCAUUAAGCAAAAGCAUUAGUAUUUUCUUGGGGAGCUAUAGCAAGUCUUCAGGUUUCAGGCAAGGUUACUCAUCAUGCAAGCGUGGUUCACCAAACCACUUCCGUUAUAUCAUGGACACCUCCAUAACCAUUAGAUCCAUUCUAACCUACUUUGUUUGGACUACAUUGUGUCAUACUGAACAGGGCUUUGGUCUCUGAUACACCUGUUCUGUGCCAAACUGACAAUGCAUCUUAUUCAGUGUUUCUAUUUUAUUAGGCAAGUCAGUUAAGAACAAAUUCUUAUUUACAAUGACAGCCUACCAGGGAACAGUGGGGUAACUGCCUUGUACAGGGGCAGAAUGACUGAUUUUUACCUUGGGGAUUCAAUCCAGCAACCUUUCUGUUACUGGCCCAAUGCUCUAACCACUAGGCUACCUGUCACCCUGUGAAUGUAGCAUUUGAGAUCUGCUCAAUGUGAAUAUCUUUUGUGUUAAAUCAUGUACCUGAUUGAAAUUCUCAAUGUAUGUAAAGUAUAAUGUUUAAAACUGUUGGCUUAUGAAUCAUGAUUUAUCGUAAUAAAAUAGAGGCC
Molecule: long non-coding RNA, 2058 nt
Filed under: Salmo salar (Atlantic salmon)
Lineage: Eukaryota; Metazoa; Chordata; Actinopteri; Salmoniformes; Salmonidae
Description: lncRNA (ENSSSAG00000091822.1, ENSSSAG00000116657.1, ENSSSAG00020084660.1)
Source: RNAcentral